This 3255-nucleotide ribosomal RNA is filed under the name Durio zibethinus. Its description in RNAcentral is "eukaryotic LSU rRNA". It matches the Rfam family "Eukaryotic large subunit ribosomal RNA". The record is from RNAcentral. Lineage: Eukaryota; Viridiplantae; Streptophyta; Magnoliopsida; Malvales; Malvaceae.
ACCACCCUAGGUCAGGUGAGAUUACCUAUUGAGUUUAAGCAUAUCAAUAAGUGGUGGAAAAAAAACUUACCAGGAUUCCCCUAGUAAUGGCAAGCAAACUAGAAAGAGCCUAGCUUGAGAAUCAGGCACCCCUAGUAUCCGAAUUGUAGUCUAGAGAAGCAUCUUUAGUGGUAGACGAGGCCUAAGUCCCCUGGAAAGGGGCACCAAAAUAGGUAAGAGCCCUAUUGUGCCUAGACCCUAUCCCACAAUGAGGUGCAGUCUGUAAGUCAGGUUGCUUGGGAAUGCAACCCAAAUCGAGCAGUAAAUUUUAUCCAACGCUAAAUGCAGGUGAGUGACCAAUAGCAAAAAAGUACCAUAAAGGAAAGAUGAAAAGGUCUUUGAAAAGAGAUUUAAAUAGUGCUUGAAAUUGUUAUGAAGGAAGUAAAUGGGGGUUGGCUAUGCACUUUGGUUAGACAUGGAAUGGCGAGAGUCGGUCUGUAGAUCGACUCGAAGCAUGGACCAAUGCGGGUCAUGGUGGUGACCUAAGCCUAGGCUUUUGAUAUGCCUAUGAAGAUGUCAUUUUUGUAAUUGUGGAAUGCAACACAAGUCAUCUCAGUGUGCCUUGGCACUCGCAUGCUCCUGACAUUGGCCCGUAGGCUCCCCAUCCGGCCUAUCUUGAAACAUGAACCAAAGAGUCGGACAUGUGUGCAAGUCAACAAGCUAGAUAACCCAUAAGGUGCAAGAAAGCUAAUUGGUGAGAUCCCUCAUGAGUGCACCACUGACUGACCUUGAUCUUCUGAGAAGGGUUCGAGUGUAAGCAUGCCUAUUGGCACUGAAAAGAUGGUGAACUAUGCUCGAGUAGGGUAAAGUUAGAGAAAAAUCUAAUAGAGGCCUUCAGUGAUAUUAACAUGCAAAUCAUUCAUCUGACUAGGGUUUAAGGGUGAAAGACUAAUCAAACCAUCUAGUAGCUAGUUCCCUCUGAAGUUUACCUCAAGAUAGUAGGAGCCCUUAGCAAGUUCUAUCGGGUAAAGCCAAUUAUUAGAGGCAUCAAGGGUGCAAUGCCUUCAACAUACUCUCAAACUUUAAAUAGGUAGGAUGGUGCAACUACUUCAUUGAGUCGUGCCACAGAAUCGAGAGCUCUAAGUGGGCCAUUUUUGGUAAACAAAACUGGCAAUAAGGGAUGAACUAAAAGCUGAGUUAUGGUGCCCAACUGCAUGCUGACCUAGAACCCAUAAAGGGUGUUGGUUGAUUAAGAUAGUUGGAUAGGGUUCAUGAAAGUUGAAAUCCACUGAGUGUGUAACAACUUACUUAUCGAAUCAACUAGCCUAAAAAAUGGAUGGCAUUUAAAUGUGUGACCUAUAUGCAACUAUCAGAGUAAAGGCAAAUGCCAGGCCCCAAUGAGUAGAAGGGCAUGAUGGUCACUGCAAAGCCAGGGGCAUGAGCCCCAUGGAGUAGCCUCGGUGCAAAUCUUGGUGGUAGUAACAAAUAUUCAAAUAAGAACAUUAAAUGUUAAAAAGGGGAAAGGUUCCAUGUGAAUUGCACUUGCACAUGGGUUAGUCAAUCCUAAGAGAUGGGGGAAGCCUAUCCGAUAAUACGUCCAAUGUGAGCUUUAAAAGGGAAUUGAGGUAAAAUUCUUGAACUAGGAUGCAUAGGCUGACAGCAAUAUUAGGUAGUCUAAAGGUGUUGGAGAAAGCCUUGGGAAGAGUUAUCUUUUUUAUUUAUAGCCAGCCCACCCUAGAAAUGACUCAGCCAGAGGUAAGGUCUAGGAAUCGAAAGAGCAUCACAAGUCACAUGAUGUUUGGUGUACCCUCAGUGACCCUUGAAAAUCUAGAAGACUAAGUGCUCUCCAUGCCCGGUCAUAUUCAUAAUCGCAUCACUCUCCAAAGAGAACAACCUCUAGUCAAUGGAACAAUAUAGGCAAGGGAAGUCAGCAAAAUGGAUCCAUAACCUCAAGAAAUGGACUGGCUUUGAAGGCCAAGCAUGGGGUCAUAAUCCCAAACUCAUUGGCUAUUGAUGCACUACUCGAGCUACUCUCAUGGUAACAAUGGGUCGUUGUGUGUUGAUCAAGGAUGGACUUGGAAAGGCUUCCUUGAAGGCUUUCCCCAGGCAAUGAAUAGUCAACUUAGAAUUGAUACGGAUAAGGGGAAUCUAACUAUUUAAUUAAACAAAGCAUUACAAUGGUCCCUACAAAUACUUAUGUAAUGUGAUUUCUACCCAGUGCUCUAAAUGUCAAAGUGAAGAACUCAACGAAGUGAGGGUAAAUGACAGGACUAGCUAUGACUCUCUUAUGGUAGCCAAAUGCCUCGUCAUCUAAUUAGUGAGCACAUGAAUGGAUUAACACAAUUCCCAUUGUCCCUAUCUACUAUCCAAUGAAACCACAAUCAAAAGAAUGAGCUUGGCAGAAUCAACAGGGAAAGAAGACCCUAUUCAGCUUGACUUUAGUCCAACAUUUUGAAAUGAAUUGAGAGGUGUAGGAUAAGUGGGAACCCUAAGUCAAAAUUGAAAUACCACAACUUUUAACAUUAUUUUACUUAUUCAUGAAUCAGAGGUAGGGCAUAACCCCUUUUAUUUGGCCUAAGGCCAACCUUGAUCGAUCGAUUAGGGUAAAAGACAUUGUCAGGUGGGGAGUUUGGCUGGGGUAACACAUCUAUUAAAAGAUAAUGCAGGUGUCCUAAGAUGAGCUCAACGAGAAUAGAAAUCUUAUAUGGAACAAAAGGAUAAAAGCUUAUUUGAUUUUGAUUUCCAGUAGGAAUAAACUAUGAAAGUAUGGCUUGUUAAUCCUGUAGACCUUCAGAAUUUGAAGCUAGAGGUGUCAAAAAAGUUAUCAGAAGGAUAACUGGCUUAUGAUAGACAAGUGUUCAUAGUGAUGUUGCUUUUUGAUCCUUCAAUGUUGGCUCUUCCUAUCAUUGUGAAGCAAAAUUCACCAAGUGUUGGAUUGUUCACCCACCAAUAAGGAAUGUGACCUAGGUUUACACCAUCAUGAGAUAGGUUAGUUUUACCAUACUAAUGGUAGCAUCACAAAAAUAAUUCAACCUAAUACGAGAGGAAUCGUUGAUUCGUGCAUUUGGUUAUCCCACUUGGUUGAAAAGCUAGUGGCAUGAAGCUACCAUGCAUUUGAUUAUGAUUGAAUGCCUCUACAUUAGAAUCUAGGUUAGAAAGGACACAUGCAUCUAUUGCCCAACUAUCGACCAAUAGUAGAGGCCUAUGCCUUGAAGGGCACAUGUCAUAGGUGCACCUAUGACAUAGCAAACAAGCCAUAUGGGCCUCCUUGGAGCU